This 553-nucleotide ribosomal RNA is filed under the name Enterococcus avium. Its description in RNAcentral is "bacterial SSU rRNA". It matches the Rfam family "Bacterial small subunit ribosomal RNA", at positions 91 to 631 of the family's 1533-position model. The record is from RNAcentral. Lineage: Bacteria; Bacillati; Bacillota; Bacilli; Lactobacillales; Enterococcaceae.
AGGAGUGGCGAACGGGUGAGUAACACGUGGGUAACCUGCCCAUCAGAAGGGGAUAACACUUGGAAACAGGUGCUAAUACCGUAUAACAAUCGAAACCGCAUGGUUUCGGUUUGAAAGGCGCUUUUGCGUCACUGAUGGAUGGACCCGCGGUGCAUUAGCUAGUUGGUGAGGUAACGGCUCACCAAGGCAACGAUGCAUAGCCGACCUGAGAGGGUGAUCGGCCACAUUGGGACUGAGACACGGCCCAAACUCCUACGGGAGGCAGCAGUAGGGAAUCUUCGGCAAUGGACGCAAGUCUGACCGAGCAACGCCGCGUGAGUGAAGAAGGUUUUCGGAUCGUAAAACUCUGUUGUUAGAGAAGAACAAGGAUGAGAGUAGAAUGUUCAUCCCUUGACGGUAUCUAACCAGAAAGCCACGGCUAACUACGUGCCAGCAGCCGCGGUAAUACGUAGGUGGCAAGCGUUGUCCGGAUUUAUUGGGCGUAAAGCGAGCGCAGGCGGUUUCUUAAGUCUGAUGUGAAAGCCCCCGGCUCAACCGGGGAGGGUCAUUGGAA